UGGCAACAAAUGGCCACAAACCGAUCAAAGGUGAAAGUGACGGUGAACCAGACAGAGCAGUCAGUGGCUGCAUAAAGCAGGACGGCGUGGAUAUUACACACGGGGACGGAGUACAGGAAAUAAAACUGUUCCCGAUAAACAAUGGGAAUGUGUCUCAGGAUCAGGUCGAGGAUAAUGACCAGGAGAUCCGCCGCUGCCAUGGCCCCCAGGGACAUAUAAACAUAUUUUCAAAUCGACCGAGACCAUUUUCUGCUCAGGGUAUGGCUUCGUGUAUGACAGCAGCAAUGAUGUACCGACAUGGAACAGGGAAUGUGAUGGAGACAUAGUUUGGACAAUGUACAAGGAGACCUCACAUGGUCCAGUUUGGGAGAGGAUGGCAUUACUGUGUGAUUCAGCUCAGAGAGGGAGAAAAUGUCAUUUGCCCGAGAAGGAACAUCCGAUUGCACUCUCUCUCCUUCGUUGUUCCUCAUCACAGCAAUGUGUGCAAGCUAAAAAAACAUCUCUACAGUCAUCAUUACCAUUCUUAUUUUUAUGGAAUCCCUGCAGUGUUGAAACAGUCCCUUCAGCCCAACAAGUCCAUACCAACCUUCCCAACCCAUUCCCCUAUAUUUACCCUUGACUAAUGUACCCAACCUAGAAAUCCCUGAACACUACAGGCAAUUUAGCAUGACCAAUCCACCUAAUUGAACUGUGGUAGGAAACUAGAUCACCCAUUUAGAAGCUCACACAGAAAGGGGGAGAAUGUGCAAACUCCACACAGACAGUCACCCAAGGCUGGAAUCGACCCCAAGUCCCUGGUGCUAUGAGGCAGCAGUGCUAACCACCGUGCUACCCUUUGGGUGAUCCCUGACCAGAAUUCGUUGGAAUCUACUCACUGCUUAAAGCAAAGGGAAUUCAGCCAAAUCCAACUCUCCUAGGAUGAAAUCCCAUUGCUAGCAGCUGUGUGAGUACAAUAUCUUCAGAAGCAGAAUAAUGUUUUGGACAAACUCACAAUGUUUCCUUUUGUCAUGAGUUCCAAUAAUAUCUGGACAAAGUUCUUUUAAGUUAAAA
Molecule: long non-coding RNA, 1050 nt
Organism: Hemiscyllium ocellatum (epaulette shark)
Lineage: Eukaryota; Metazoa; Chordata; Chondrichthyes; Orectolobiformes; Hemiscylliidae
Exons: 2
Source: RefSeq, a predicted model, not a curated record